RNAcentral lists this ribosomal RNA (437 nucleotides) under uncultured Oscillospiraceae bacterium. RNAcentral describes it as "partial 16S ribosomal RNA". It matches the Rfam family "Bacterial small subunit ribosomal RNA", at positions 341 to 792 of the family's 1533-position model. The record is from RNAcentral. Lineage: Bacteria; Bacillati; Bacillota; Clostridia; Eubacteriales; Oscillospiraceae.
ACGGAAGGCAGCAGUGGGGAAUAUUGGGCAAUGGGCGAAAGCCUGACCCAGCAAUGCCGCGUGAAGGAAGAAGGUCUUCGGAUUGUAAACUUCUUUUAUGAGGGACGAAGGAAUUGACGGUACCUCAUGAAUAAGCCACGGCUAACUGCGCGCCAGCAGCCGCGGUAACACGUAGGUGGCAAGCGUUAUCCGGAUUUACUGGGUGUAAAGGGCGCGUAGGCGGGGAAGCAAGUCAGAUGUGAAAUCUAUGGGCUUAACUCAUAAACUGCAUUUGAAACUGUUUCUCUUGAGUGCUGGAGAGGUAGAUGGAAUUCCUAGUGUAGCGGUGAAAUGCGUAGAUAUUAGGAAGAACACCAGUGGCGAAGGCGAUCUACUGGACAGUAACUGACGCUGAGGCGCGAAAGCGUGGGGAGCAAACAGGAUUAGAUACCCUGGUA